This 72-nucleotide transfer RNA is filed under the name Camelus bactrianus (Bactrian camel). It matches the Rfam family "tRNA". Rfam says of the family: Transfer RNA (tRNA) molecules are approximately 80 nucleotides in length. Their secondary structure includes four short double-helical elements and three loops (D, anti-codon, and T loops). Further hydrogen bonds mediate the characteristic L-shaped molecular structure. tRNAs have two regions of fundamental functional importance: the anti-codon, which is responsible for specific mRNA codon recognition, and the 3' end, to which the tRNAs corresponding amino acid is attached (by aminoacyl-tRNA synthetases). tRNAs cope with the degeneracy of the genetic code in two manners: having more than one tRNA (with a specific anti-codon) for a particular amino acid; and 'wobble' base-pairing, i.e. permitting non-standard base-pairing at the 3rd anti-codon position. Lineage: Eukaryota; Metazoa; Chordata; Mammalia; Artiodactyla; Camelidae. The record is from Rfam by way of RNAcentral. RNAcentral also lists the same sequence under 1 other name.
GUGGGUAUAACUUAAUGGCAGAGCGCAUGCUUAGCAUGCAGGAGGUCCUGAGUUCAAUCCCCAGUACCUCCG